CUUUGGGACGAUCGUUGUAACGAUUCACACAGUCGAAUAGUAAGCGUAAAGUUAAACGGUAGUAUCGAGCGAGCAACGAUUACGAUCUCUAUAUUUGUGCUUAAAGUGAUUUUAAGGUAAUUAACUAUUACAAUUUGAUCGCUCGUUUCUUUAUUAAACAAACAAACACGUUUAAUAUUCACGCGAAACUGAACUCUUAACACUUCAACUUUUAAUUGUGAAUAUCGACCGGCAACUUCAAUUUAUUCUCAUCAUACUUCGACUUGCAAGUUUUUAACUGUCAGAUUUGAAACGCUACAGUGACGUGCAAGGAAUAACAUUAAAAUCAUUCAAAACAAUAUUCAUCUGAGAAGUGUCACAGUACUCACUGACGAGUAUUAUUUUUUGUUUGUAAACAAUUACCGAUAACGGGCGAAAAAUACAUUUGCAUCGUACAUUGGUGGUGCUUGAGAGGCACACUUGGAGCGUUACGUUUUAAUCUCACCACGAAGAAAGAAAGAAAAUUCGCAUGUGGUGGCGGAGCCGGAUAUGGUCGUCCUCGAUAGGCGUCUGACUGGAGGCGGGAAGAGGUGGCUGCGGGCCAUCGGAAAUCGCUGGAAUCGCGACCCUUAUCGCCUUAUUAGAGAGGGGCAACUUGCAUGGCGUCCUAAGCCGGACGCGGCGUGGCGCUGCGGCAAGUUUAUCGGCCGCUUGUAUCAGCGUACUCACGCUCCCUUUCAUGGUCUUUAAACCGGCGCACUUAGCAUGGCCCGUCAUUAUUUAACGUUGAUGUUGGUGUUCGAUUUGAAGAAGUGGAUCGGAAGUCUGCUAAAGUGAAGACAAGCAAUCUGUGCGUAUCCUCUGUGAGGAUGAUUUUUAUUCAGACAUUUUUAUUCGGCCAGCGUAGGAAUAAAAUGGAACGGAAAGACAAACAGCAGCGGUCGCGUGUGAGUGAGCCACGGGAAUGUAAUUAAUGAGCAGUUUGGCGGUCGGCCGGACAGCUGUCCCGUUUUUUUUUUCUAACCCAGCGAUGGACGGAGUCGCGGUACCGAGAACAGCAGAACGAGAAACGUGAAAACCUUGCGUGGAAGCGGUCUAGAAGACGCGUCUUCGGACGCGGCGGAAGGAACAAGAUGGAUUGCCUGACACUACCGGACAAGAUCAAUUGAAUUUCUAUUUGGACGUAACCGAGACCCGUUUGCCUCUAACCCCACCUUCUUUAUCCACCACCAAGUCCCCCUUACCGCGACAGCCAAACUCUAAUUCUUCUUCUACCGGUUGUCCACGUCACGAUAAUUGUAGAAAGUGAUCUACUGCAACUUGAUUCCUUCGUCCCCUAACUGAUUCGUCGGUUAUUUAAUAAUAGUCAUUUUGUUAAUUUACAAAUGCUGUUGAAAUAGUUUCAUUGAUGUUUGGUAUUUGAUCUGGAUUAUAAAUUUUAAAUUGCAAACAUGUACUUUCUUUAUUAGAUAAAUUCUAUAUUAGAUCUUCUUCUAUAUUACAUAUUAGAUUAAUUCCUUUAUGUUUUUAUUACGUUUAUUAUUACUCAAUUCUUGUUAGUUUUGAAAUAUGAUCUAAUAUAAUCAUUUUAAGUCUUUUUACCUAUGGUGUGUUUGCAGGUGAAAGUUUAUUUUCUAUCCAACUGCGUUUUUCUAUUAUAUAAUUUCUGAGAAAAAUAUGGCAAAUGCUGAGCAACUGUGAUUUCUAGUUUUUUUAAUAACUGCAGCAUGAAGAUUUGAAAAUUGCAACAGGGUGAAGAACAGGUGGAAUUGUAUUUUUUAUCCAACUGCGUUUUUCUAUUAUCCAAUUUGUGAGAAGAAUAUAGCAGAUGGUAAGUAACUGUGAUUUAUAAUUUUUUUAAUAACUGCAGGAUGAACAUUUGAAAAUUGCAACAGGGUGAAGAACAGGUGGAAUUGUAUUUUCUAUCCAACUGCGUUUUUCUAUUAUCCAGUUUGUGAGAAGAAUAUAGCAGAUGGUAAAAUUGUAUUUUCUAUCCAACUGCGUUUUUCUAUUAUCCAAUUUGUGAGAAGAAUAUAGCAGAUGGUGAGUAACUGUGAUUUAUAGUUUUUUUAAUAACUGCAGCAUGAAGAUUUGAAAAUUGCAACAGGGUGAAGAACAGGUGGAAUUGUAUUUUCUACCCAACUGCAUUUUUCUAUUGAUACACAAUUACUGAGAAAAAUAUGGCAGAUCAGUGAAUAACCGUGAUUUCUGUUUUUUUUUUUUUUUUUAAUAACUGGAGCAUGAAGAUUUGAAAAUUGCAACAGGGUUAAGAAAGGGCAGCAAGUAUAAUAAAUAUAAAUAUCAAAGUAACCAGACCUGCAAUUCGUUUCAAUCUCUAAGAACCCGGAGAACGUAGGUGAUUGUGCUAAUAACUCGUUCGACAAUUUCGCUCGAAUAAACAGUUUCUGCAAGAUAUAAAUAAAAAGGUACGAGUAUUAUAUUCCUCAACUAUGGUGAGAUAGCCGAGUGAUAAUAAAUGGGUUUGAAAGUAGCUGCCUAAUUACUUCCUCGGACACCGCACGAACUCGCGAUGCAACCGUUGAUAUUGCUACGUACUUUUUCCUUUUUCCUGAGCCCCGCGCUGGCUACCGGUUUUACAGCGACCGUUGAAUUUAACUGUCUAUUAAUUAAUGCGGGCCGAUUAAUUUCCGUCACGGCAUAAAAACGCAGUUCCAUGGAAAAUUAUGAUGGCGCAAGGUCUCGCCUCCGCGCCAUUUCCCUACGAUUCGUAUGUCAUCGAACCAUCGUUCUACAGAUCCAUGUGAAAAAUACCGACAUGUUGCGGGUAUUUCGUUUCGGGAAACUAGAAAAGAGGAGUAAAAUAAAAUUGUUUACAAGCUGAAAAAUAAACCUCCAAGGACGUGUUUGCUUGAUGUCUACAAUUCACCCUGUACGUAAAUAUCCAUCAAAUAUUUCACCACAUCCUGUACAAGUACAGAGCUAGAGGGAAUUAAGCUAAAGCACGUAACAACUGCGUUAAAUCAAAUUCAACGUUGGGAUUAAUACUGAAAUGAGGAUGAGUAUGAAAUAAAAACUUGGCAGAAACUUAAUAGAAAGGAAUAAUCAAAAUUUAGUAUGAAGUCCUGUAUUAUUUUUUGCUGUGUCUAUGAAAUAAGGGUACAGCGUGAACAUGGAGCAGCAAAGGAACAUAAGCGCGCAACGCGAGCAUGACGUCGACAUAAACGCCAGAGAGGGCAAACAAAAUUUUCAAAAGUUAUAUUCUCAUGAUCUCCUACUGAUCUGAAAUAAGAAAUUACUUUGAUUUAUGUACCCCCUAAAGUUCUUCGUUCCAAUAGUAUAAUACUCUUUUCUUUUGCUUCUGAAACAAUUGUAAUUUCCUAGUAUAUUCGUGUCCUUUUGCCAAAGUAGGAAAGCUCGUUUGAAGCGAAAACCGCGGAAAGUCGCCGGCAUGCACCAGGCAACACGCGGUUCAAUGUAUCAUUAGGUAGUCAUUGCGAUCACCGUGGGUCCCGUUGGUACACGCACGAUCCGACGGACACGUAGGUAAGCCAUCCUGGCUUCAUUCACGUCAGAUGCGAGGCGACCACGUCAUUUAUCUGCCAACCAUUCCGGCUAACGAUGCAUUGCCGGUUUGUUGGUCGAGCGUCCUGGUAUCCUCGUGUUCCCUGCACGAGCUGCGUCUGGAAUUUCCAUCUUUUUUUAUGAUGCCUCUCAAACAAUUCUUUUGCACUUAAGGAGAGUACGUGGAGGUUAAUUAUGAGCAAUUUCUAUGAAGACCAGGAUUCCUUGUAUUUAUGCUAAUCAACACGGAUCAUGAUACUUGAAACCAAAUUUGUUGGAUCUUUGAGUACAUAUACAUGUAUAUUAACAUUAGAUCUUGCAAUAUUAAAAGUGCACUUUUGCAACCAGGAAUUAUUUAUUUACAAAUGCUGUUACAUGUUAUAUAUUUUUUUUGCAGGCAAAUUUUACUGCUCGUUCACACCAAUGCGCAGCGUCCACGUUGCCUUUCAGUAUCUUUCAGAAAGAUACGAAGAAGAGACUCUUAGCGUCUUAUC
Long non-coding RNA from Bombus terrestris (buff-tailed bumblebee), 3995 nucleotides. RefSeq lists it as uncharacterized. The transcript has 13 exons. NCBI's taxonomy places the organism in Eukaryota, Metazoa, Arthropoda, Insecta, Hymenoptera, Apidae. The record is from RefSeq and is a predicted model, not a curated record.